AUGGAAUCUAUAGGUUGUUUAGAUGCAUGAUCUGUUUAAUUUAGCAACCAAAAUCAAAUUUGAAUUGUCAAUUGACCUAAAGGUUUCUACGAUAUUGCAUAAAAUUACUUUUUAAGUGCUGGAGAUGGGUCCAAAACAAUUUUUACUAGCUAUUAGUUUGCCACUUUUUUCUUGGUUCAACAUGAUUCGUGAAUUUCUAGAAAAUAAUUCUUUUCCCUAA
Molecule: unclassified non-coding RNA, 220 nt
Filed under: Hevea brasiliensis (rubber tree)
Lineage: Eukaryota; Viridiplantae; Streptophyta; Magnoliopsida; Malpighiales; Euphorbiaceae
Source: RNAcentral